RNAcentral lists this ribosomal RNA (253 nucleotides) under uncultured bacterium. RNAcentral's name for it is "partial 16S ribosomal RNA". It matches the Rfam family "Bacterial small subunit ribosomal RNA", at positions 524 to 776 of the family's 1533-position model. The record is from RNAcentral.
GACGAACCGAGCGAACGUUGUUCGGAAUAACUGGGCUUAAAGGGCGCGUAGGCGGGCCGCCAAGUUCGAGGUGAAAUCCUCCGGCUCAACCGGAGAACUGCCUCGAAUACUGGAGGCCUCGAGGCGGGUAGGGGCAUGCGGAACUGUGGGUGGAGCGGUGAAAUGCGCAGAUAUCGGGAAGAACACCCGCGGCGAAGGCGGCUCUCUGGGACGGUACUGACGCUGAGACGCGAAAGCGUGGGGAGCGAACAGG